UGGACAGGGGGGUCUCUGCCCAAAAGGCAGGGCCUGUCCAGGAGGUUGCGCGAGAUUGCGUGGCCAGUGGUUGUCGCUCGGGGGUGAUCGCCG
This is a non-coding RNA of Streptomyces violaceusniger Tu 4113, 93 nucleotides long. NCBI's taxonomy places the organism in Bacteria, Bacillati, Actinomycetota, Actinomycetes, Kitasatosporales, Streptomycetaceae. The record is from Rfam.